GAUGAACGCUGGCGGCGUGCCUAAUACAUGCAAGUCGAGCGAACAGACGAGGAGCUUGCUCCUCUGACGUUAGCGGCGGACGGGUGAGUAACACGUGGAUAACCUACCUAUAAGACUGGGAUAACUUCGGGAAACCGGAGCUAAUACCGGAUAAUAUAUUGAACCGCAUGGUUCAAUAGUGAAAGACGGUUUUGCUGUCACUUAUAGAUGGAUCCGCGCCGCAUUAGCUAGUUGGUAAGGUAACGGCUUACCAAGGCAACGAUUCGUAGCCGACCUGAGAGGGUGAUCGGCCACACUGGAACUGAGACACGGUCCAGACUCCUACGGGAGGCAGCAGUAGGGAAUCGUCCGCAAUGGGCGAAAGCCUGACGGAGCAACGCCACGUGAGUGAUGAAGGUCUUCGGAUCGUAAAACUCUGUUAUUAGGGAAGAACAAAUGUGUAAGUAACUAUGCACGUCUUGACGGUACCUAAUCAGAAAGCCACGGCUAACUACGUG
RNAcentral lists this ribosomal RNA (497 nucleotides) under uncultured bacterium. RNAcentral describes it as "partial 16S ribosomal RNA". It matches the Rfam family "Bacterial small subunit ribosomal RNA", at positions 28 to 507 of the family's 1533-position model. The record is from RNAcentral.